This 253-nucleotide ribosomal RNA is filed under the name uncultured bacterium. RNAcentral's name for it is "partial 16S ribosomal RNA". It matches the Rfam family "Bacterial small subunit ribosomal RNA", at positions 524 to 776 of the family's 1533-position model. The record is from RNAcentral.
UACGAAGGGGGCUAGCGUUGUUCGGAAUUACUGGGCGUAAAGCGUGCGCAGGCGGCUUCUCAAGUCAGGGGUGAAAGCCCAGAGCUCAACUCUGGAAUUGCCUUUGAGACUGAGUGGCUUGAGUACGAGAGAGGUGAGUGGAAUUCCCAGUGUAGAGGUGAAAUUCGUAGAUAUUGGGAAGAACACCGGUGGCGAAGGCGGCUCACUGGCUCGUAACUGACGCUCAUGCACGACGGCGUGGGGAUCAAACAGG